This 506-nucleotide ribosomal RNA is filed under the name uncultured bacterium. RNAcentral describes it as "partial 16S ribosomal RNA". It matches the Rfam family "Bacterial small subunit ribosomal RNA", at positions 29 to 523 of the family's 1533-position model. The record is from RNAcentral.
AUUGAACGCUGGCGGCAUGCCUUACACAUGCAAGUCGAACGGCAGCACAGUCGUAGCAAUACGAUGGGUGGCGAGUGGCGGACGGGUGAGGAAUGCAUCGGAAUCUGCCCGAUCGUGGGGGAUAACGCAUCGAAAGGUGCGCUAAUACCGCAUGAGAUCGAGAGAUGAAAGCGGGGGACCGCAAGGCCUCGCGCGAUCGGAUGAGCCGAUGCCGGAUUAGCUAGUUGGCGGGGUAAAGGCCCACCAAGGCGACGAUCCGUAGCUGGUCUGAGAGGAUGAUCAGCCACACUGGGACUGAGACACGGCCCAGACUCCUACGGGAGGCAGCAGUGGGGAAUAUUGGACAAUGGGCGCAAGCCUGAUCCAGCAAUGCCGCGUGUGUGAAGAAGGCCUUCGGGUUGUAAAGCACUUUUAUCGGGAGCGAAAAGCGGACGGUGAAUACCCGUCCGUGCUGACGGUACCCGAGGAAUAAGCACCGGCUAACUUCGUGCCAGCCGCCGCCGUAA